GAUGAACGCUGGCGGCGUGCCUAAUACAUGCAAGUCGAGCGAACAGACGAGGAGCUUGCUCCUUCGACGUUAGCGGCGGACGGGUGAGUAACACGUAGGUAACCUACCUAUAUGACUGGGAUAAUUUCGGGAAACCGGAGAUAAUACCAGAUAAUAUUUCGAACCGCAUGGUUCGAUAGUGAAAGAUGGCUUUGCUAUCACUUAUAGCUGGUCCUGCGCCGUAUUAGCUAGUUGGUAAGGUAACGGCGUACCAAGGCAACGAUGCGUAGCCGACCUGAGAGGAUGAGCAGCCACACUGGAACUGAGACACGGUCCAGACUCCUACGGGAGGCAGCAGUAGGGAAUCUUCCGCAAAGGGCGAAAGCCUGACCGAGCAACGCCGCGUGAGUGAUGAAGGUCUUCGGGUCGUAAAACUCUGUUAUUGGGGAAGAACAACCGUUUAAGUAACUCUGCACGUCUUGACGGUACCUAAUCAGAAAGCCACGGCUAACUUCGUG
This 497-nucleotide ribosomal RNA is filed under the name uncultured bacterium. Its description in RNAcentral is "partial 16S ribosomal RNA". It matches the Rfam family "Bacterial small subunit ribosomal RNA", at positions 28 to 507 of the family's 1533-position model. The record is from RNAcentral.